RNAcentral lists this ribosomal RNA (428 nucleotides) under Clostridioides difficile. Its description in RNAcentral is "partial 23S ribosomal RNA". It matches the Rfam family "Bacterial large subunit ribosomal RNA", at positions 1 to 431 of the family's 2925-position model. The record is from RNAcentral. Lineage: Bacteria; Bacillati; Bacillota; Clostridia; Peptostreptococcales; Peptostreptococcaceae.
GGUCAAGUUAUUAAGGGUGCAGGGCGGAUGCCUUGGCACUAGGAGCCGAUGAAGGACGUGAUAAGCUGCGAUAAGCUUCGGGGAGUUGCACGUAAACUUUGAUCCGAAGAUUUCCGAAUGAGGAAACUCACUUAGAGUAAUGUCUAAGUAUCAUUAAGUGAAUACAUAGCUUAAUGAGGGGAACUCAGGGAACUGAAACAUCUAAGUACCUGAAGGAAGAGAAAGAAAUUCGAUUCCGUAAGUAGCGGCGAGCGAACGCGGAUUAGCCCAAACCAAUAAAGUUUUCUUUAUUGGGGUUGCGGACAUAUCAUAACGAAGAGGUAUCGUAAUUGAAGAGGUUUGGAAAGACCCACCACAGAAGGUAAUAGUCCUGUAUGUUAAACGAGAAGACUUCAGAUAUGAUCCAGAGUACCACGGGACACGUGAAA